Molecule: ribosomal RNA, 535 nt
Filed under: Prexaspes quadriguttatus
Lineage: Eukaryota; Metazoa; Arthropoda; Insecta; Phasmatodea; Pseudophasmatidae
Description: partial large subunit ribosomal RNA
Source: RNAcentral
AGAGAGAGUUCAAGAGUACGUGANNNNGUUCNGGGGUAAACGGGAGAAAUCCUGAAUUCGAAAGGGGUCGGAUUCCAGUCUGUCCAGGUGUCCGGGCUGAUCCGUGCCAGAUGGCGGCGGAAGCCCGCGGCGAUUCAUUUCGCUCGCGGUGUCUGUCCCGCCGUUCACUCGGUCGCGGUUUCGAGUCCCGGUCCUGGCGUGCCGCACUUCCACCCUUUGUAGAAACGUCGCGACCCGUUGGGUGCCGGUCUAAGGCCCGGGAAGGCAGACCGUGAGUUCCGCGGGUCGACCCCGCGGGCUCGUGGACUCCCGGUGUACCCGGCCGGCUGCCCGACGGUAUGAUCAGAGGAGGCGAUCCGCUUACUUGGGAAACACUUUGGCUGUGUUGCGUCCGCCCCUUCGCCGCGUGGCAGGGAGGUUUAAAAAUGGGUGUCCGUGCCCGGCACGGCCCCGGCCUCUCCGCGUCCGCGGUGUCGUGGUUCUUGGACUGGAUCGAUGCUCCCGUCUGCGACGCCCAUUUUCGGAUGGUCUCCCG